CCCAGGUUCACGCCACUUCUUCUAGUUUUUUGAGAUGUAAAGUUUGGUUGUUUGAGAUGUUUCCUCUUUUUAAUAUAGGCAUUCAUUGCUAUAAACUUCCCCGUUAGUACUGCUUUUGAUUCAACCCAUAAGUUUUGGUAUGUAGUAUUUUUAUUUUUAAUUUAAUUUAGUUUUUUCAGAGAUGGAGUCUCACUCUGUUGCCCAGGCUGGAGCACAGUGGUGCAAUCAUAGCUCACUGCAUCCUUGAUCUCCCUGGCUCUAUAAAUCUUACUGCCUCAGCCUCCCAAGUAGCUGGGACUACAGGUAUUUGCCACAAUGCCUGGCUAAUUUUUUGUUAGUUAGUUUGUUUCUGUACAGAAGGGGUCUCACUAUCUUGCCCAGGCUGUUCUAAGACUCCUGGGCUCACAUAAUCCUUCUGUCUUGGCCUCCCAAAGUGCUGGGAUUACAGGUGUGAGCCACUGCACCCAGCUGGUAUGUAGAAUUUCCAUUUCUAUUCAUCUUAAGAUUUUUUUUGAUUUACCUUUUUUUUUUUUUUUUUUUUUUGAGACAGAGUCUUGCUGUCCCAGGCUGGAGUGCAGUGGUGCAAUUAUGGCUCACUGAAGCCUCAGUCCUCCAGGCUCAAGCGAUCCUCUUGCCUCAGCCUCCAGAGCAGCUGGGACUAUCAGCAUAUGCCACCACACCUGGCUAAUUUUCUUGAUUUUCUUUUCUUCCUUUUUUUUUUUUUUAGUAGAGAUGAGACCUCACUUUGUUGCCCAGGCUGGUCUUGAACUCCUGAGCUCAAGUGAUCCUCCUGCUUUGGCCUCCCAAAGUGCUGGGAUUACAGGCCUGAGCCACCAUGCCUGGCCUCAGAGCUGUUUUUUUCUGCUAUUGGCUUCUAGUUUUAUUUCACUGUGGUCAGAAAAGAUACUUGGUAUGACUUCAGUCUUCUUAAACUUGUUAGGACUUGUUCGUGACUGUUAUGGUUUGAAUGUUUGUCCCCUCCUAAACUUAUAUGUUGGAGAUUUAAUCACCAAUGCAACAGUUUUGGGAAGGGAGGCCUAAUGGGAGGUGUUUAGGUCAUGAGGGCUUUAUCCUUGUGAGUGGAUUAAUGCUGCACUUGAACAAGCGAUUUGGAGUGGGUUCAUCAUCUUCUGCACUUUUGCCAUGUGAGGAGCAGCGUUCUUCCCCUCUGAAGGAUGCAGCCAAACUUCGCAGCACCCCAGCACCUUGAUCUUUCACUUCCCAGCCUUCAGAGUUGUGAGUAAUCAAUGUCUAUUCUUUACAAAUUAUCCAUCCUCAGCUAUUCUCAUACAGCAGCACAACAUGGAUGAAGGCAGUGGCCUAACACUACAAUUUACUCUGGAGAAUAUUCCACAUGCACUUGAAAAGGAUGUGGAUUCUGCUGCUGUUGGGUGGAAUGUUCUCUGUAUGUCUGUCAGGUCCAUUUAGUGUACAGUGUUCAAAUCAUUUGUUUCCUUAUCAAUAGUCUAUCUGGAUGUUCUAUCCACUAUUGAAAGUGGGGUAUUGAAGUCUGUUACUGUAAUUGUAUUGCUUUUUUUUUUCCUUUUUACAAAGUAGCCAGAGGCUCAGAUAUUAUCGUAUUGCUUUCUCUCUUUAGUUCUAUCAGCAUUUGCUUUACAUAUUUAGGUGUUCUGAUGUUGAGUGAAUAUUUAUAAUUGUUAUGUCUUCCUAGUGAAUUGGCCGUUU
This 1686-nucleotide long non-coding RNA is filed under the name Homo sapiens (human). RNAcentral's name for it is "HSALNT0272668". Lineage: Eukaryota; Metazoa; Chordata; Mammalia; Primates; Hominidae. The record is from RNAcentral.